This 1113-nucleotide long non-coding RNA is filed under the name Sarcophilus harrisii (Tasmanian devil). RNAcentral describes it as "lncRNA (ENSSHAG00000029959.1)". The record is from RNAcentral. Lineage: Eukaryota; Metazoa; Chordata; Mammalia; Dasyuromorphia; Dasyuridae.
UUGGUGUAACUGGGAGCUCGGACCUCAAAGGGCUUGUGGGAGGCUGAGGGGCAAAUAAAUGACUGGGACUCUUUCCUUUCUGCCUCAAAGGACUUGCGGAAGGCUGCUGGGUGAAUACAAGAUAAUUGUGGGACUCUUUAUUUCACAUUUCUACCAAAAAUGACAACAGAGGCAGAAAAUACAUUCGUUGCAUUACUGCAGGAACUUGGCUACAUCCCCGGGAGCCCCAAAGCAUAAGGACCCACGUCUGGGCCAGGUUUUCUGUACGGCGCGUGGGGGCGCUGCCUCCCCCAGACCUGGCAGGUGGGCACUGGGUUGGGUUUAGAACGGGGCUGGCAUGGGGUGCCUGCUGACCAGCACAUGCAGGCGCUGGCUGUGUUUCUGUGUGUGGCACGUGGCUAGAAAGACUGGGAAGGUCAGCUUGUAUUUCAUCUCCGCCGGAGCCGGCCCUCUCUGCCCGGACUUUGGGGAGGGGGCGCACCCGCCUUCCUCCAGGGGGCUUUCUGCCCCGCCCCACCCCCCUCCAGUGCAGCUCUGGGCCCGUCAUGCUUCGGACCGAAUGAACAAAGGGAAGAAAGAAUGGGGCCUUCUCCAUGGAGGCAGGGCCUGACCCCGGGACUCAGAACCAGUAUUCGGAGACAAAGAUGUGGACGUUGACCACGUUGCGGUGGGAGACCACCCCGCCUACCACGUAGUUCAUCUCCAGCUUGAGGGUGGCGUAGAAGGGGCCCACGAUGGGCCGGACCUGGCGCACCACACCUGUGGGGAGAGCGGGACAGCGGGUCAGCGGGUCAGAGGGGCUGACAGCCAGAGCCCACUGGAGGGCUCCCUGGAGGAGACCUGCCUGCCUUCCCCGGCCUGGCCCGACGCCCAGGUAUGGGCAGGAUGCUGGGGAGCUAAGCACAAGAGGGAAGGUCUCUCCUACCCCCGGCCGUCCCCCAGCUUUCCUGGGCUCUAUUAGCCUAAUAGACCAUCACAGGCCCCAAAGCCAGAAGGGGCCUUGUUCAAAUCCUGCCCUCCUGUUGCCUUUUGCCUCCCAACCAAGAGAACCGCAGAGACACGGGCCUCCUGCUGCACUGGGAGGACGUUCCUCCUCUGGAAAUUCCCUUGUUA